RNAcentral lists this ribosomal RNA (450 nucleotides) under Heterorhabditis indica. RNAcentral describes it as "partial 28S ribosomal RNA". It matches the Rfam family "Eukaryotic large subunit ribosomal RNA", at positions 386 to 819 of the family's 3401-position model. Lineage: Eukaryota; Metazoa; Nematoda; Chromadorea; Rhabditida; Heterorhabditidae. The record is from RNAcentral.
ACACUGUCGUGAAAUCGCUGAAGUGGAACCGGAGAGAGUUAACAUAACUUGGUAGCUAUAUUCUCUAUAGUCGCUUAGCUGUGGCUUUGGGGGGUGGACGCUACCUGUUGUUGCGCUGACUGCGUUGAUCAUGCUUUCCUAACAAUGUAGUGUUGCCCACAUUGUGGUGUCUUGCUUAUUGGGAGGUUUGUCAUGGUUAACGUCAAGCCUUAGUUUCUAGGGAGUCAGUGUGAAAGUUAACCACCUUUCCGACCCGUCUUGAAACACGGACCGAGGAGUGUAAUUUACACGCGAGUCAAAGGGCUGAGGAAACCUUAUGGCAUAAUGAAAGUAAAGACCGGUUAACCGGUUGACAUGGGAUCCGACUGAACUUCUUCGAAACGGAGCACCAUGGCCCUGUCUUGUCUGCUUGCAGAUGGGCAGCGGUAGAGCGUGUAGGUUGCGACCCGA